Molecule: ribosomal RNA, 433 nt
Filed under: uncultured bacterium
Lineage: Bacteria
Description: partial 16S ribosomal RNA
Rfam family: Bacterial small subunit ribosomal RNA
Source: RNAcentral
AGCGAACGCUGGCGGCAGGCUUAACACAUGCAAGUCGAGCGGGCCCUUCGGGGUCAGCGGCAGACGGGUGAGUAACACGUGGGAACGUACCCUUUGGUUCGGAAUAACGCUGGGAAACUAGCGCUAAUACCGGAUACGCCCUUUUGGGGAAAGGCUUGCUGCCGAAGGAUCGGCCCGCGUCUGAUUAGCUAGUUGGUGGGGUAAUGGCCUACCAAGGCGACGAUCAGUAGCUGGUCUGAGAGGAUGAUCAGCCACACUGGGACUGAGACACGGCCCAGACUCCUACGGGAAGCAGCAGUGGGGAAUAUUGGACAAUGGGCGCAAGCCUGAUCCAGCCAGGCCGCGUGAGUGAUGAAGGCCUUAGGGUUGUAAAGCUCUUUUGUCCGGGACGAUAAUGACGGUACCGGAAGAAUAAGCCCCGGCUAACUUCGUG